This 497-nucleotide ribosomal RNA is filed under the name uncultured bacterium. RNAcentral describes it as "partial 16S ribosomal RNA". It matches the Rfam family "Bacterial small subunit ribosomal RNA", at positions 28 to 507 of the family's 1533-position model. The record is from RNAcentral.
GAUGAACGCUGGCGGCGUGCCUAAUACAUGCAAGUCGAGCGAACGGACGAGAAGCUUGCUUCUCUGAUGUUAGCGGCGGACGGGUGAGUAACACGUGGAUAACCUACCUAUAAGACUGGGAUAACUUCGGGAAACCGGCGCUAAUACCGGAUAAUAUUUUGAACCGCAUGGUUCAAAAGUGAAAGACGGUCUUGCUGUCACUUAUAGAUGGAUCCGCGCUGCAUUAGCUAGUUGGUAAGUUAACGGCUUACCAAGGCAACGAUGCAUAGCCGAACUGAGAGGGUGAUCGGCCACACUGGAACUGAGACACGGUCCAGGCUCCUACGGGAGGCAGCAGUAGGGAAUCGUCCGCAAUGGGCGAAAGCCUGACGGAGCAACGCCGCGUGAGUGAUGAAGGUCUUCGGAUCGUAAAACUCUGUUAUUAGGGAAGAACAUAUGUGUAAGUAACUGUGCACAUCUUGACGGUACCUAAUCAGAAAGCCACGGCUAACUACGUG